This 68-nucleotide transfer RNA is filed under the name Bulbitermes nr. laticephalus THAI100. Its description in RNAcentral is "tRNA-Met". The record is from RNAcentral. Lineage: Eukaryota; Metazoa; Arthropoda; Insecta; Blattodea; Termitidae.
AGAAAAGUAAGCUAAACUAAGCUAAUGGGUUCAUACCCCAUAAAUAGAGAACAAAUCUCUCUUCUCUG